RNAcentral lists this ribosomal RNA (447 nucleotides) under uncultured bacterium. Its description in RNAcentral is "bacterial SSU rRNA". It matches the Rfam family "Bacterial small subunit ribosomal RNA", at positions 329 to 793 of the family's 1533-position model. The record is from RNAcentral.
GACCAGACUCCUACGGGAGGCAGCAGUGGGGAAUAUUGCACAAUGGGGGAAACCCUGAUGCAGCGACGCCGCGUGAGUGAAGAAGUAUUUCGGUAUGUAAAGCUCUAUCAGCAGGGAAGAAAAUGACGGUACCUGACUAAGAAGCCCCGGCUAACUACGUGCCAGCAGCCGCGGUAAUACGUAGGGGGCAAGCGUUAUCCGGAUUUACUGGGUGUAAAGGGAGCGUAGACGGCAUGGCAAGUCAGAUGUGAAAGCCCGGGGCUCGACCCCGGGACUGCAUUUGAAACUGUCAGGCUGGAGUGCAGGAGAGGUAAGUGGAAUUCCUAGUGUAGCGGUGAAAUGCGUAGAUAUUAGGAGGAACACCAGUGGCGAAGGCGGCUUACUGGACUGUAACUGACGUUGAGGCUCGAAAGCGUGGGGAGCAAACAGGAUUAGAUACCCUCGUAG